CCGUAGCGACGUCUCAUGGAAUGUUUUUUCGCGUUUAACGCAAUACAAUACAACUUUCAGCAACGGAUCUCUUGGCUCUCGCAUCGAUGAAGAACGCAGCGAAAUGCGAUAAGUAAUGUGAAUUGCAGAAUUCAGUGAAUCAUCGAAUCUUUGAACGCACCUUGCGCCCCUUGGUUAUUCCUCGGAGCAUGCCUGUUUGAGUAUCAUGAACACCUCAACUCUCAUGGUCUUCCAUGACGAGCUUGGACUUUGGGGGUUUGCUGGCCUUGUGGCCGGCUCCUCUCAAAUGAAUCAGCUUGCCAGUGUUUGGCGGCGUCACGGGUGUGAUAACUAUCUACGCUCGCGGUCGUCCGCCAGGUAACCCUCAGCGAUGAAGGUUCAUUGGGGCUCAUAAACGUCUCUCCCCAGCGAGGACAACUUUUGAACGUUCGAUCUCAAAUCAGG
RNAcentral lists this ribosomal RNA (444 nucleotides) under uncultured fungus. RNAcentral describes it as "eukaryotic LSU rRNA". The stretch from base 52 to 206 matches the Rfam family "5.8S ribosomal RNA". The record is from RNAcentral. Lineage: Eukaryota; Fungi.